Solanum tuberosum (potato) is the source of this 609-nucleotide long non-coding RNA. RefSeq lists it as uncharacterized. The record is from RefSeq and is a predicted model, not a curated record. NCBI's taxonomy places the organism in Eukaryota, Viridiplantae, Streptophyta, Magnoliopsida, Solanales, Solanaceae. The transcript has 3 exons.
UCCAGAUCUCUCUCCAAUACUUCCAGAUUAUGAUUAACAAUUGCUAUUUGCUUAGGAGAGAGAUCUAAGAGCCAAAAAAGAACAAUGAAAAACUUCCUUGCAUCUCUUCAUCAUAUCUCUUCUUCCCGACUUCUCCUAAAGCUUGGGUUACGAGCUAAAUUAACUAUAUAGUUCGAGAUUUGAGGAAGAUGACCUAAAAACUUCGUCUCUUUUUCAAAUUAGAAACAUUGGUUGUUGCUAAAUCAAAAUAGCCUUCAGUUUGGGGAAUCUCAGUAGCUCCCAUCCAAGGUGCUGAUGUUUCAACAAACACUUAGAGCUUGUAAUCUUUAUGAUUGUGAACCUGAAGGUAUAUAUGAUUAAUUCCAGUUUGAAUAAGACGCAACGGUUGAAAUAAAGCUAGAGUUGUAUACGGUCAGCAAUCUAUAUUGUUUGUUUGCUUUUUCUUAUCAAUCAAAUGUUGUAAAAAAAUUAGUUUCUUAUUUUAGUUAAACUUUCAACAAACACGAAAGGGCUAUGGACAUUCCUCCAUAUCUGAGGCACUUUUAUAGUAUCUUUGUAAAUAUAAAUUUGCAUUCCUUACAACUUUGUAAUACAAAUAAUUAAUUUCAA